AAACUUCACACUGGAGGCAACUCCGAUGAGGGAAUUCCUAGUGCUAGCACAUUAGUGUUAGCUUUUCUUAAGCGUAGAUAACUUAAGGAAUAAGGGCUGGGUAAGACGGGUGCCAGCCGCCGCGGUAAUACCCGCAGCCCAAGUGGUGGUCGAUUUUAUUGAGUCUAAAACGUUCGUAGCCGGUUUGGUAAAUCCUUGGGUAAAUCGGGAGGCUCAACUUUCCGAAUUCCGAGGAGACUGCCAAACUUGGGACCGGGAGAGGCGAGAGGUACUUCUGGGGUAGGGGUAAAUCCUGUAAUCCUAGAAGGACCACCGGUGGCGAAGGCGUCUCGCUAGAACGGAUCCGACGGUGAGGGACGAAGCCCUGGGUCGCAAACGGGAUUAGAUACCCCGGUAGUCCAGGGUGUAAACGCUGCAGACUUGGUGUUGGGACCUACGUGGGUGUUCAGUGCCGGAGAGAAGUUGUUAAGUCUGCUACUUGGGGAGUACGUCCGCAAGGAUGAAACUUAAAGGAAUU
Molecule: ribosomal RNA, 517 nt
Filed under: uncultured bacterium
Lineage: Bacteria
Description: bacterial SSU rRNA
Rfam family: Archaeal small subunit ribosomal RNA
Source: RNAcentral